This 328-nucleotide RNase P RNA is filed under the name human gut metagenome. RNAcentral describes it as "Bacterial RNase P class A". It matches the Rfam family "Bacterial RNase P class A". Rfam says of the family: Ribonuclease P (RNase P) is a ubiquitous endoribonuclease, found in archaea, bacteria and eukarya as well as chloroplasts and mitochondria. Its best characterised activity is the generation of mature 5'-ends of tRNAs by cleaving the 5'-leader elements of precursor-tRNAs. Cellular RNase Ps are ribonucleoproteins. The record is from RNAcentral.
GGCGGCCAGGCGAUCGCGUGGCUUGCGCCAUGAGGAAAGUCCGAGCAUCACAGGGCAGGGUGCCGGCUAACGGCCGGUGAAGGCGACUUCAAGGAAAGUGCAACAGAAAGAAACCGCCCCGUUUCGGCGGGGUAAGGAUGGAAAGGCGAGGUAAGAGCUCACCCGCGGCCUGGCGACAGGUUCGCGCUGUAAACCCCACUCGAUGCAAGAUCCGAUCAGGAGCGAUACGGCGGCCCGUCGUGCUCCUAAAGAGAUCGCUACGACCGCGCGGCAACGCGCGGCCAAGAUAGAUGAUCGUCCAACGACAGAACUCGGCUUACGACCGCGC